This 561-nucleotide long non-coding RNA is filed under the name Marmota monax (woodchuck). The record is from RNAcentral. Lineage: Eukaryota; Metazoa; Chordata; Mammalia; Rodentia; Sciuridae.
CUGUAACUCAGUGAUAGAGCACAUGCAGGAGGCCCUGAGUUUCCAUCCCUAGUUUAUAGUAAUUUAGUGAAGGGCGUUUUCAUUCUGAGCAGGGAUGAUGGAGAUGUGUGACAUCAGCUGAGCUUGACAUAAACACAGGACAAGAAUAUCAGAACAGUGAGGAGCAACAGGCAAGUUAAUCAAUGUUAUCUAACUGUUAUCUAACAUCAGCAGCAGAUAUUUAAUCUGAGACCACUUGCAUUCAUUAAAGCAGUUAUUUAGAUGUUGGGUCUACAUAAUGACAAACACCAUAAUAUUUUGUAAUAACCUGAUGAAUUACAAGGUUUUUCAUUUAAUCUGGGAGUUUAAGAUCCAUAGUAACAGCUUCAGCAUUUGCCUUGUUUUUCAUAUUAAGGUUUUCAAUCUCCAUCCAAGCAAGAGGGGCUAUUAAAAGCCAUCAAUUUAGCCAGGAACCUAUAUUGGGAUGAUAAAUUACCCAAAGAUAGUACUUUGGAAAACUUUUUUAAAAUGAAAUUGUUUAAAGUUAGGUAUCAUGAAAAUUAAGAUCUUGGGCAAAAGUGA